UACGUAGGACCCAAGCGUUAUUCGGAAUUACUGGGCGUAAAGAGUUGCGUAGGUGGCAUAUUAAGCGGGUAGUGAAAUCGUACGGCUCAACCGUAUACACAUUAUCUGAACUGGUAAGCUAGAGUAUGAUAGAGGUAACUGGAAUUCCAAGUGUAGGAGUGAAAUCCGUAGAUAUUUGGAGGAACACCGAUGGCGUAGGCAGGUUACUGGAUCAUUACUGACACUGAGGCACGAAAGCGUGGGGAGCAAACGGG
RNAcentral lists this ribosomal RNA (254 nucleotides) under uncultured bacterium. RNAcentral's name for it is "partial 16S ribosomal RNA". It matches the Rfam family "Bacterial small subunit ribosomal RNA", at positions 524 to 776 of the family's 1533-position model. The record is from RNAcentral.